AUGAAGGUCAAGCUGUGCAGUUUCAGCAGGUACAAGAUCUACCCCGGACACAGGAGGCCCUAUGCCAGGACCGACGGGAAGGUUUUCCAAUUUCUUAAUGCAAAAUGCAAGUUGGCGUUCCAUUCCAAGAGGAAUCCUCAGCAGAUAAACUGGACUGUCCUCUACAGAAGAAAGCACAAAAAGGGACAGUUGGAAGAAAUUCAAAAGAAAAGAACGCGCCGAGCAGUCAAAUUCAGAGGGCCAUUACUGGUGCAUCUCUUGCUGAUAUAAUAGCCAAGAGGAAUCAGAAAACUGAAGUUAGAAAUGCUCAACGAGAAAAAGGAAAAAAAAAAAUGAGAAAAAGCUAUCAGGGCUGCCAAGGAAGCAAAAAAGGCUAAGCAAGCAUCUAAAAAGACUGCAAUGGCUGCUGCUAAGGCAGCUACAAAGGCAGCACCUAAGCAAAAGACUGUGAAGCCUGUGAAAGUUUCAGCUCCCCGAGUUGGUGGAAAACGCUAAGCUGGCAGAUUAGAUUUUUAAAUAAAGAUUGGAUUA
Non-coding RNA from Callithrix jacchus (white-tufted-ear marmoset), 531 nucleotides. Lineage: Eukaryota; Metazoa; Chordata; Mammalia; Primates; Cebidae. The record is from RefSeq and is a predicted model, not a curated record.